CAAAAAACAUAAACAAACCCACUACAAUAUCUUAUACCCAAAACUCAAACACAAUCGCUAAAAUCACAAUUAAUUAAAAGUCCAAACUCGUCAAAAACCAAAACCCCAGAAAACGAAUAAACCCAGUAAAUAAAAUAAUAGAAGAAAGAGAAAAAGAACAAAUAGGAGACUGAGUUUGUUCGAAAAACGCGUAAAACACAAACAAAACCAAGCAAGCAAAAACUGGAAGCUCUUUUUUGACUUUAGGCGAAAAUGGUAUUGUCUUCUUCGCCAAUAGAAGAAAGGUACUGUGCAAAACGUUUAUCAGUUUCAGAUAGAAUUUUGAAUACACAAAAACUGUGACGUAGAAAAAUGGUUUGAGUCUUUGAGAGAGAUUGAAAGAUUGACAAAGUUUGAUGACCGAGUAAAAGCUAAUGACAAAG
Molecule: unclassified non-coding RNA, 422 nt
Filed under: Hevea brasiliensis (rubber tree)
Lineage: Eukaryota; Viridiplantae; Streptophyta; Magnoliopsida; Malpighiales; Euphorbiaceae
Source: RNAcentral